This 253-nucleotide ribosomal RNA is filed under the name uncultured bacterium. RNAcentral's name for it is "partial 16S ribosomal RNA". It matches the Rfam family "Bacterial small subunit ribosomal RNA", at positions 524 to 776 of the family's 1533-position model. The record is from RNAcentral.
UACGGGGGGGGUAAGCGUUGUUCGGAAUUACUGGGCGUAAAGGGCUCGUAGGCGGCCAACUAAGUCAGACGUGAAAUCCCUCAGCUUAACUGGGGAACUGCGUCUGAUACUGGAUGGCUUGAGUUUGGGAGAGGGAUGCGGAAUUCCAGGUGUAGCGGUGAAAUGCGUAGAUAUCAGGAGGAACACCGGUGGCGAAGGCGGGUCUCUGGGCCGAUACUGACGCUGAGGAGCGAAAGCGUGGGGAGCGAACAGG